AGUGGCCGUCCGCGCAACGCCUGCCGGGAAGCCCGGUUCCUCCGUUUGAGCUGCCUGCGGGUGUCGCAGAGCCGUGGGGCGUUGUGGUUGGGUUGGUUUUGAAACAGGAGGCCUGGAGGGAAGUGUAUCUGCCUAUAUUGAGACAUCCUUUUUUUUAAGCGGCAAUCACAAGGAAUUUCCCAAUUAAGCUUGCAGUGAAUGAUGGAGGGACUCUGCUCCUGAUGAUUUGGAAUAAAGCUGCCUGUGGGUCAGGAAGCCAGCUGCACUUUGAACUUCAUCGAUUACUGCUUUCCUUUAUCCCAAACACUAGCCAGUGGCAGAUCCUGCAGCAGCCUGCACUUAUUUCCUCAGUUGGACCUGAAGGGGAGCCCGACCAGGGAGAUCAGAUUAUCUAAAGAGCAGAGGAGUAUGGCACAGCAGGGGGCCAGUACCCAGAGAGGAGGACUUCAGAUUCAAGGCCCCUGCAUACUUGGAGAUCUCUUGUAUAUUUAAAACGUUAUGAGUGAACUUUCCUCAACAUGAUAAAGGGCAUUCAUGAAAAGCCUACAGCUAACAUCAUACUCAAUGGGGAAAUAGUGAAAGCUUUCCCUUGAAGAGGAGGAACAAGACAAGGCUGCCUACUUUCAGUAUGGCUAUUCAAAAUUUUAAUGGAAAUGCUAGCCAAAACAAAUAAG
This is a long non-coding RNA of Microcebus murinus (gray mouse lemur), 674 nucleotides long. RefSeq lists it as uncharacterized. NCBI's taxonomy places the organism in Eukaryota, Metazoa, Chordata, Mammalia, Primates, Cheirogaleidae. The record is from RefSeq and is a predicted model, not a curated record.